This 278-nucleotide ribosomal RNA is filed under the name uncultured bacterium. RNAcentral describes it as "partial 16S ribosomal RNA". It matches the Rfam family "Bacterial small subunit ribosomal RNA", at positions 15 to 291 of the family's 1533-position model. The record is from RNAcentral.
GAUCAUGGCUCAGGAUGAACGCUGGCGGCGUGCCUAACACAUGCAAGUCGAACGAUGAAACCGCCCCCGGGCGGACAUGAAGUGGCGAACGGGUGAGUAACACGUGACCGACCUGCCCCCCCGCCCAGGGACAGCCCCCCGAAAGGGGGAUUAAUACCUGGUACUCCGGGAGCGGCGCAUGCCGCCCCCGGGAAAGCUCCGGCGGCGGGGGAUGGGGUCGCGGCCCAUCAGGUAGACGGCGGGGCAGAGGCCCACCGUGCCGACGACGGGUAGCCGGG